Long non-coding RNA from Girardinichthys multiradiatus, 361 nucleotides. RefSeq lists it as uncharacterized. Lineage: Eukaryota; Metazoa; Chordata; Actinopteri; Cyprinodontiformes; Goodeidae. The record is from RefSeq and is a predicted model, not a curated record. The transcript has 2 exons.
ACAGGCAGGUUUUAGUGUUGCCAGGAGAACCUGUAAACUCUGCGUUUCCAUGACAACAAUAUGAAUAUAAAGAUGCUCAUUGGAGACUGAUUCAAAAAACAUCUGAAAGCAUCAUGUCAUGUCUUGGUAAGCUGAUAUCAAAGGAGAAAAUAUAAGGUCACAUCCAGUUCUGGUUGGACACCUCAAGGACCAAAGACAUCACAGCAUCCCUGGUCCAGCUCCACACACAAACAAGAAAGUCACCACAUCACACCCCAAACUUCCAUAAAAGCACAGUUUUUGCCUUUUUCUCUGGUAAAAAUUUUGUGGCACAACAAACGGGUUAUAUUUAAAAAUGUAUUAAAUCAAAUUCAAGCGGGAA